RNAcentral lists this ribosomal RNA (497 nucleotides) under uncultured bacterium. RNAcentral's name for it is "partial 16S ribosomal RNA". It matches the Rfam family "Bacterial small subunit ribosomal RNA", at positions 28 to 507 of the family's 1533-position model. The record is from RNAcentral.
GAUGAACGCUGGCGGCGUGCCUAAUACAUGCAAGUCGAGCGAACGGACGAGAAUCUUGCUUCUCUGAUGUUAGCGGCGGACGUGUGAGUAACACGUGUAUAACCUACCUAUAAUACUGGUAUAACUUCGGGAAACCGGAUCUAAUACCGUAUAAUAUUUUGAACCGCAUGGUUCAAAAGUGAAAUACGGUCUUGCUGUCACUAAUAGAUGGAUCCUCGCUGCAUUAGCUAGUUGGUAAGUUAACGGCUUACUAAGGCAACGAUGCAUAGCCGAAGUGAGAGGGUGAUCGGCAACAUGAGAACUGAGACGCGGUCCAGACGACUACGGGAGGCAGCAGUAGGGAAUCGUACGCAGUGGGCGGAAGCCUGACGGAGCAACGCCGAGUGAGUGAUGACGGUGUUCGGAUCGUAAAAAUCUGUUAUUAGGGGAAAACAUAUGUGUAAGGAACUGUGGACAUCUUGACGGUACCUAAUCAGAAAGCAACGGCUAACUACGUG